Molecule: ribosomal RNA, 600 nt
Filed under: Marinovum sp.
Lineage: Bacteria; Pseudomonadati; Pseudomonadota; Alphaproteobacteria; Rhodobacterales; Roseobacteraceae
Description: bacterial SSU rRNA
Rfam family: Bacterial small subunit ribosomal RNA
Source: RNAcentral
GGCGGACGGGUUAGUAACGCGUGGGAACGUGCCCUUCACUGCGGAAUAGCCACUGGAAACGGUGAGUAAUACCGCAUACGCCCUUCGGGGGAAAGAUUUAUCGGUGAAGGAUCGGCCCGCGUUAGAUUAGAUAGUUGGUGGGGUAACGGCCUACCAAGUCUACGAUCUAUAGCUGGUUUUAGAGGAUGAUCAGCAACACUGGGACUGAGACACGGCCCAGACUCCUACGGGAGGCAGCAGUGGGGAAUCUUGGACAAUGGGCGCAAGCCUGAUCCAGCCAUGCCGCGUGAGUGAUGAAGGCCUUAGGGUCGUAAAGCUCUUUCGCCAGAGAUGAUAAUGACAGUAUCUGGUAAAGAAACCCCGGCUAACUCCGUGCCAGCAGCCGCGGUAAUACGGAGGGGGUUAGCGUUGUUCGGAAUUACUGGGCGUAAAGCGCACGUAGGCGGAUCAGAAAGUUGGGGGUGAAAUCCCGGGGCUCAACCCCGGAACUGCCUCCAAAACUCCUGGUCUUGAGUUCGAGAGAGGUGAGUGGAAUUCCGAGUGUAGAGGUGAAAUUCGUAGAUAUUCGGAGGAACACCAGUGGCGAAGGCGGCUCACUGG